This 253-nucleotide ribosomal RNA is filed under the name uncultured bacterium. RNAcentral describes it as "partial 16S ribosomal RNA". It matches the Rfam family "Bacterial small subunit ribosomal RNA", at positions 524 to 776 of the family's 1533-position model. The record is from RNAcentral.
UACGAGGGGGGCAAGCGUUGUUCGGAAUUAUUGGGCGUAAAGGGUGCGUAGGCGGUUUUGUAAGUCUUGUGUGAAAUCUUCAGGCUCAACUUGAAGACUGCACGAGAAACUGCAGGGCUUGAGUGUGGGAGAGGUGAGUGGAAUUCCUGGUGUAGCGGUGAAAUGCAUAGAUAUCGUGAGGAACACCAGAGGCGAAGGCGGUUACCUGGACAGUUACUGACGCUCAGGCACGAAAGCAUGGGGAGCAAAAGGG